ACCGGGCAGAUGACGCUGGCGGCAGGCCUAACACAUGCAAGUCGAGCGGUAACAGGUCCAGCUUGCUGGACGCUGACCAGCGGGGGACGGGUGAGUAAUGCAUAGGAAUCUACCCAGUCGUGGGGGAUAACCUGGGGAAACCCAGGCUAAUACCGCAUACGUCCUACGGGAGAAAGCGGGGGCUCUUCGGACCUCGCGCGAUUGGAUGAGCCUAUGUCGGAUUAGCUGGUUGGUGGGGUAACGGCUCACCAAGGCGACGAUCCGUAGCUGGUCUGAGAGGAUGAUCAGCCACACUGGGACUGAGACACGGCCCAGACUCCUACGGGAGGCUGCAGUGGGGAAUAUUGGACAAUGGGCGAAAGCCUGAUCCAGCCAUGCCGCGUGUGUGAAGAAGGCUUUCGGGUUGUAAAGCACUUUCAGUGGGGAAGAAGGCUUGCCGGCCAAUACCCGGCAAGAGCGACAUCACCCACAGAAGAAGCACCGGCUAACUCCGUGCCAGCAGCCGCGG
This 508-nucleotide ribosomal RNA is filed under the name Chromohalobacter israelensis. Its description in RNAcentral is "bacterial SSU rRNA". It matches the Rfam family "Bacterial small subunit ribosomal RNA", at positions 33 to 520 of the family's 1533-position model. The record is from RNAcentral. Lineage: Bacteria; Pseudomonadati; Pseudomonadota; Gammaproteobacteria; Oceanospirillales; Halomonadaceae.